RNAcentral lists this transfer RNA (84 nucleotides) under Microcaldota archaeon. RNAcentral's name for it is "Candidatus Micrarchaeota archaeon (hot springs metagenome) tRNA-Ser". It matches the Rfam family "tRNA". From Rfam's summary of the family: Transfer RNA (tRNA) molecules are approximately 80 nucleotides in length. Their secondary structure includes four short double-helical elements and three loops (D, anti-codon, and T loops). Lineage: Archaea; Nanobdellati; Microcaldota. The record is from RNAcentral. RNAcentral also lists the same sequence under 1 other name.
GCCGGGAUGGCAGAGCGGUCGAUUGCGCUGGACUCGAGAUCCAGUGCCCGAAAGGGUUCGGGGGUUCGAAUCCCUCUCCCGGCG